Molecule: ribosomal RNA, 497 nt
Filed under: uncultured bacterium
Lineage: Bacteria
Description: bacterial SSU rRNA
Rfam family: Bacterial small subunit ribosomal RNA
Source: RNAcentral
GGCUCAGGAUGAACGCUAGCUACAGGCUUAACACAUGCAAGUCGAGGGGAAACGAUAUUGGAAGCUUGCUUCUGAUAGGCGUCGACCGGCGCACGGGUGAGUAACGCGUAUCCAACCUGCCCAUCACUUGGGAUAACCUUGUGAAAGUAAGACUAAUACCCAAUGACGUCUCUAGAAGACAUCUGAAAGAGAUUAAAGAUUUAUCGGUGAUGGAUGGGGAUGCGUCUGAUUAGCUUGUUGGCGGGGUAACGGCCCACCAAGGCGACGAUCAGUAGGGGUUCUGAGAGGAAGGUCCCCCACAUUGGAACUGAGACACGGUCCAAACUCCUACGGGAGACAGCAGUGAGGAAUAUUGGUCAAUGGACGAGAGUCUGAACCAGCCAAGUAGCGUGCAGGAAGACGGCCCUAUGGGUUGUAAACUGCUUUUAUAAGGGAAUAAAGUGAGUCUCGUGAGACUUUUGCAUGUACCUUAUGAAUAAGGACCGGCUAAUUCCGUG